Molecule: non-coding RNA, 812 nt
Organism: Anas platyrhynchos (mallard)
Lineage: Eukaryota; Metazoa; Chordata; Aves; Anseriformes; Anatidae
Source: RefSeq, a predicted model, not a curated record
AAACGUCUCAGAUGGUCUCACUAACCCUGACCAGCCAACAUCACACGUCCCUGCCUUGAAAAAAAGAAAAAUCUUUCUUCUUUUUUUUUUUUUUCCAGGAAGGAAUGGAAAUUAUCAUCUACCCCCCACCCCAAGAGCCACAAGUUUGGCCAGCGAUCGCGCCCCUGUUAUUUGGGGAGGCAAUAACUCCUUUUUCCACUCUGCUCCAGCACAGGUUACGUUUGCGAGAGGAAUUUGCAAGGGGAGGGAAGGAGGGAGCCUCGUCGGGGCAGACGUGAUGUUUACAGCUCUGGAGAGCUCUGGGUCACUGAUCAAACCAGCAGCAAGUGGCCUGUGGACUCCCCAAACCAGCGCUGGUUUUAACUCUGAGCCCCCUUCUCCCUCCACCCCGGGGCUGUUUGCAGCCAGCCCCGCUCUUGCGUGCAGAAAACCUUCCCUGCACGCAGAAAUCGCUCCCAUCUGACACCUCCGAGAGCCCGUGCCGGGACGGGAAGAGGCAAUGCGAGCUGUACCUAAAUCUGGAAAACAAACAAGGACCAUUUGAUGCUCACAUCUUCUGCAAAAUGCUUGAAAGCAGGAACGUCUAUGAAAGUAAGGGCUCAGUGACUGAGGUUCCUCCAAAUUAAAAGCAAGACCGAGGUAAAUACAUGAGAAUUGUUCCCCCUAGCCUGCCAAAUAGCAAGAAUUGAUGCUCCUGAGGGGCAAAUACAUCGGUACAUGACUGGAUAUGUCCCUUCCUGGCCUUACUUCUGUACUGCACCCAGGGAGAAGUGCCUGGCUGUAAAGUGAGUAACAAAACAGAACAAAACAAA